RNAcentral lists this ribosomal RNA (253 nucleotides) under uncultured bacterium. Its description in RNAcentral is "partial 16S ribosomal RNA". It matches the Rfam family "Bacterial small subunit ribosomal RNA", at positions 524 to 776 of the family's 1533-position model. The record is from RNAcentral.
UACGUAGGGAGCAAGCGUUGUUCGGAGUUACUGGGCGUAAAGGGUGUGUAGGCGGCUCUUUAAGUUUGGUGUGAAAUCUCCCGGCUCAACCGGGAGGGUGCGCCGAAUACUGAGGGACUCGAGUGCGGGAGAGGAAAGUGGAAUUCCUGGUGUAGCGGUGAAAUGCGUAGAUAUCAGGAGGAACACCGGUGGUGUAGACGGCUUUCUGGACCGUAACUGACGCUGAGACACGAAAGCGUGGGUAGCAAACAGG